Molecule: ribosomal RNA, 165 nt
Filed under: uncultured bacterium
Lineage: Bacteria
Description: partial 16S rRNA
Rfam family: Bacterial small subunit ribosomal RNA
Source: RNAcentral
UAGGGAGUCUUCGGCAAUGGACGAAAGUCUGACCGAGCAACGCCGCGUGAGUGAAGAAGGUUUUCGGAUCGUAAAACUCUGUUGGUAGAGAAGAACGUUGGUGAGAGUGGAAAGCUCAUCAAGUGACGGUAACUACCCAGAAAGGGACGGCUAACUACGUGUCAG